Molecule: transfer RNA, 74 nt
Filed under: Trachidermus fasciatus (roughskin sculpin)
Lineage: Eukaryota; Metazoa; Chordata; Actinopteri; Perciformes; Cottidae
Description: tRNA-Leu
Rfam family: tRNA
About the family: Transfer RNA (tRNA) molecules are approximately 80 nucleotides in length. Their secondary structure includes four short double-helical elements and three loops (D, anti-codon, and T loops).
Source: RNAcentral
GUUGAAGUGGCAGAGCCCGGUAAUUGCAAAAGGCCUAAGCCCUUUCGACAGAGGUCCAAAUCCUCUCCUCAACU